AAUCGGGCCCUCGCCACCCCCCCUCUAAUCCAUCUAGCAAGCCAUGGCUGGACACCGCUUUCCCCUGAAGCCUUAACCACGCACGAUCUGAAAGCGUGAGGUCACCGGCGAGCACGAAUUCAAGAGAGAACAAAAAAAAAUCGUCGCCGCGCUGAGGAGAGAAAGAAAUCGCGCCAUACGCAUGGCCAUGGUCGUCGUCGGGGCUUCAGGGCCACUCAAGCUUGCAGCAGUUGCUUCUGGGGGCCUAACCACGGCGCGCCCUGCGUAGCAGGGUUGGGAAGACGGACUGGGAUCGCUCCUGGGCAGCUGUUGCGGUGCCGGUAGGGCAGUUGCGUGUUUGCGGCUGCUCCUGUGCGCUGGAGGGUCGCUGGGUCCGGCACUAUGGGCUCGUCACCAUAGUCCACGGAUUCGUACCGGAAAGUCUCACCGUGCGUGGAGGUCCGGGCAGGUGAACUUUCUGCGGCGGUUUGGCGGCCGAAGAUCUUGGAAUUUGUUGACGAAAUGCAUGCUCCUCCGCAUGUCCGAUGUGCGCCGUGGCCAGGGGUAUUCAUUCUGCGAUUGCCGGUAAGACACCUCCCAUGAUGUUCGCCGUCCUCCCUUGUACGUCUGGAUUAGAUCCGCUUUUUGGAUGGGACACCAGUGCACCGAGGCGCCGUUCACCGACGUAGGCUACCGUCGUUGGGGCGGCGCCGCCGUACCCCUGUAGCUGAGCGAGGAAGAAAGACCCCUGGUCGUCCGAUUGGCUUUGGGCGGCCUGGAUUAGAGGCUCGUACCUAUUCAACUCGGCCGGAUCUCGACCGUUGAUCGGUUAUCCUAGGCUUGUGUUAGAUCUGGGCGUGGGACGUUAUGGUCCAUGGAUCUCGAAUCGUGCGGCUGGCACCUGAUACCGGUUCGCUGUUGCGCGAUUUAAUAUGGGGCGUGCAUCCUUGAUCCAACGACCCGAAUUAACCGAUACCCUUUCGACCUGCGCGUUUUGCAAAAGAGACCUCAUAUUUAACUAUAAACAACCCGCAGUCCGCACUGUGGGAAUACUGAGUCUUGGGAAAAUUGUGAUUUAGGCCCUUGAUCUUUUAAGAAAUAUUGUGUCCAGUCCAGAACACUUAGGAUAUUCAGAAAUUAAUAAAGAAAUAGGUUUUUAGUAUGAAAAUAAUUCCAUAAACUUGUAUAAUUGAUAGUUAAUUCAUUUUAGCUCCAAAUUGAGUCAUUCCAGUUGCUAUAAUUUUGUUUUAAUAUUGUCUAUCAACUAGUAACACUGUUUAGCCAUGAAACUUGAAUUAAAAUUGUCCAUUUGAAUUAAUCUGUUCUAGGUGCUACAUAACUUGAGAAAUCCAUAACUUGGUAACCGUAACUCCGAAUUUAAUGAUUCUUGUUCCCACGGUCUCGUAGAAACGCGUAGAUUAUGACUACGCAAUUUAUUCUUAUGAUUGGUGUGAUGUUAAUUUUGCCUAUACCAUGUAUGUCUGUAUUGCUACGUUUAGCAGUGAGGUCACGUGUCAUCUGAAGAGCAAGUUGGUACCUUCUCAAGUGCCAGGCAAGUUGUGCCCUUGAUCACUUCUUUUUACCCAGCCAUGUUCUGAUUAAUCAUAAUGAUCUGCAUAGGUUAAUUUUGAUGGGACCCAAUAGGUUACCCUAGUUUGAUUAUCUUUAUACCUUGUUACCACUGAACUUUUUGGGUAGUACUUGCUAGUGCUUUAUGUGGUUUUGGGUAUGAAGAUACAUUACUCAUGAUUAUACUUUUGUUAUCCGUUGUUAUUUAUCAUUCAUGAUAAGAUCAUUAUGUUAAUUGGAACAUGGAGCGACCACCCGGGAAAAUUGUGCUACCACAAGGGUAUAAUGGGACGCCCUUGGCUGAUUAAUUAGGAAAGCUAGUGGAGGACUACCUUACCCGAAAGGGGCAAGGGCAGUAGGGGAGUGGUCAGUGUAGGGAGGCCCUUGGGAUGAUUUUGCUGCGAUGGCGGUCAUGCAAGGGAUUCCUGCAUUGGAGCUUCCUAUAAACUGUAGCGGGUUUUCUAAAGCUAGUGGAACUUUGUAAAGGCCUCGUAGUGUUACCCUGCCUCGCCUCCUCGGUAGAGGUGUAUGGGAAGUCGCGAUCCCUUGGCAGAUGGGUAACAUGACUUGUGGGUAAAGAUGCGCAACCUCUGCAGAGUGUAAAACUGGUAUACUAGCCAUGCUCACGGUCAUGAGCGGCUCGGACACUCAUAUGAUUAAAUUAUGGAACUUAAACUCAAUUUGUCAUAUGCAUUGCAUCGCAGGUGAUGUUGUUACUUUUGUUCUACUACUUAAUUGGGUUGGUAUUUACUUAUACUUAGUAAUUGCUAAUAAAAAUUUGACCAACUUUAAAAGCAAUGCUUAGCUCAAACCAUCCUCUUUGGUAAGCCUUACACUUCACGUGAGCUCCCACCUUUGGCGAGUUCAUGCACAUUAUUCCCCACAACUUGUUGAGCGAUGAACGUAUGUGAGCCCACUCUUGCUGUCUCACACCCCCCCACAGGUCAAGAACAAGUACCGCAGGAUGAGGCGCUUGGAGGAUGCUGUGACGAGUUCGUGAGAGGUCUAGGCCGUCGUCUCCCAGUCAACUUUGGGUUGCUGGACCGCUGUCUCCUUAUAAUGUAAUUAUUUAUUUAUUUUGUAUAGAACUUCUAUUAUGUAGUAAAG
This 2655-nucleotide long non-coding RNA is filed under the name Zea mays. Its description in RNAcentral is "long non-coding RNA (ZMAY_LNC001124)". Lineage: Eukaryota; Viridiplantae; Streptophyta; Magnoliopsida; Poales; Poaceae. The record is from RNAcentral.